GAUGAACGCUAGCGGCAGGCUUAAUACAUGCAAGUCAAGGGGGUAGCAAUACAACCGGCGCACGGGUGAGUAACGCGUACACAACAUACCAUAUACUGGGGUAUAGCUUUGGGAAACUGAAGGUAAUCCCCCAUAACAUUGCGAGAGGGCAUCUGAUUGCAAUUAAAGUUUCGGCGGUAUAUGAUUGGUGUGCGUUUGAUUAGCUAGUUGGUAGGGUAACGGCCUACCAAGGCGACGAUCAAUAGCUGGCGUGAGAGCGCGACCAGCCACACUGGAACUGAGACACGGUCCAGACUCCUACGGGAGGCAGCAGUAGGGAAUAUUGGACAAUGGAGGAAACUCUGAUCCAGCCAUGCUGCGUGAUAGAUGAAGGCCCUCUGGGUUGUAAAUAUCUUUUAUCUGGGAAGAAACAAUCUUAUUCUUAAGAUCUUGACGGUACCAGAGGAAUAAGCACCGGCUAACUCCGUGCCAGCAGCCGCGGUAAU
This 485-nucleotide ribosomal RNA is filed under the name uncultured bacterium. RNAcentral's name for it is "bacterial SSU rRNA". It matches the Rfam family "Bacterial small subunit ribosomal RNA", at positions 28 to 524 of the family's 1533-position model. The record is from RNAcentral.